UUGACCUACGGGAGGCAGCAGUGGGGAAUAUUGCACAAUGGGGGAAACCCUGAUGCAGCGACGCCGCGUGGGCGAGGAAGUACCUCGAUAUGUAAAGCCCUAUCAGCAGGGAAGAAACAGGACAGUACCUGACUAAGAAGCCCCGGCUAACUACGUGCCAGCAGCCGCGGUAAUACGUAGGGGGCAAGCGUUAUCCGGAUUCACUGGGCGUAAAGGGAGCGCAGGCGGCAUGGCAAGUCUGGUGUGAAAACCCGGUGCCCAACCCCGGGAGUGCAUUGGAAACAGC
Molecule: ribosomal RNA, 286 nt
Filed under: uncultured bacterium
Lineage: Bacteria
Description: partial 16S ribosomal RNA
Rfam family: Bacterial small subunit ribosomal RNA
Source: RNAcentral